Molecule: ribosomal RNA, 301 nt
Filed under: uncultured bacterium
Lineage: Bacteria
Description: partial 16S ribosomal RNA
Rfam family: Bacterial small subunit ribosomal RNA
Source: RNAcentral
CAGUCGCCGCGGUAAUACGUAGGGUGCAAGCGUUAAUCGGAAUUACUGGGCGUAAAGCGUGCGCAGGCGGUUAUAUAAGACAGAUGUGAAAUCCCCGGGCUCAACCUGGGACCUGCAUUUGUGACUGUAUAGCUAGAGUACGGUAGAGGGGGAUGGAAUUCCGCGUGUAGCAGUGAAAUGCGUAGAUAUGCGGAGGAACACCGAUGGCGAAGGCAAUCCCCUGGACCUGUACUGACGCUCAUGCACGAAAGCGUGGGGAGCAAACAGGAUUAGAUACCCCUGUAGUCCCUGUCUCUUAUAC